CUUCUUGUGCCUCUCUCCCACUCUCCUGGAGUUCUCCCAGAACAAUAUGCUGAGAACAUUGAUAAGGUUGGAAUUGCCCAAAGGCCUUGCACCAGGAGCAAAUACUUUGCUCCUAAAGCAGACAUUCAGAUCUGGAAAAUCUGAAAGAGAACAUGGGCAUGAUUCCCUUCAUUUUAAAAAUCAUCUUGAAUCCUGAGGCACAUUUGAAAUGCAAGAUAUGUGAGGUGAAUGGCAGAAAAGAAAAAUACCAGAAGACUGAAUUUCCAAUAAAUCAAAGCAACCGAAUUUCAAUUUACAAUAGUGGAACUCAGGACAUAUUUUUUCCACCAAAACAUCCAACCAAGUAUGAGUGAGUGGCCUGGCCUUAACACAUUGUUUGUUUGAACAACAAUUUGAAGGAAAGUCGAUAUGUUGAUAAUAUAAUAUAGAGUAACUUCAGAAGGCCUUAUAAAGAAUGUGCAGUAGGAAGAAGAAAAUCUGGAACCCUGAGUUAGCCUGGUGGGAAAGUCAGCCUCAGCUGAAGCCUCAACAGGCAGCUUGGAUGCUUCUUGACAUCUACAUUAAG
This 565-nucleotide long non-coding RNA is filed under the name Homo sapiens (human). Its description in RNAcentral is "HSALNT0359897". The record is from RNAcentral. Lineage: Eukaryota; Metazoa; Chordata; Mammalia; Primates; Hominidae.